AUUGAACGCUGGCGGCAUGCUUUACACAUGCAAGUCGAACGGUAACAGGGUGCUUGCACCGCUGACGAGUGGCGAACGGGUGAGUAAUGCGUCGGAACGUGCCGAGUAGUGGGGGGUAACGCAGCGAAAGUUGUGCUAAUACCGCAUACGUACUGAGGUAGAAAGUGGGGGACCUUCGGGCCUCACGCUAUUCGAGCGGCCGACGUCUGAUUAGCUAGUAGGUGAGGUAAAGGCUCACCUAGGCGACGAUCAGUAGCGGGUCGGAGAGGAUGAUCCGCCACACUGGGACUGAGACACGGCCCAGACUCCUACGGGAGGCAGCAGUGGGGAAUUUUGGACAAUGAGCGAAAGCCUGAUCCAGCCAUGCCGCGUGUCUGAAGAAGGCCUUCGGGUUGUAAAGGACUUUUGUCAGGGAGGAAAUCCCUAGUGCUAAUAACACUGGGGGAUGACAGUACCUGAAGAAUAAGCACCGGCUAACUACGUGCCAGCCGCCGCCGUAA
RNAcentral lists this ribosomal RNA (500 nucleotides) under uncultured bacterium. RNAcentral describes it as "partial 16S ribosomal RNA". It matches the Rfam family "Bacterial small subunit ribosomal RNA", at positions 30 to 523 of the family's 1533-position model. The record is from RNAcentral.